AGUGAACGCUGGCGGUAGGCCUAACACAUGCAAGUCGAACGGCAGCACAGUAAGAGCUUGCUCUUACGGGUUGCGAGUGGCGGACGGGUGAGGAAUACAUCGGAAUCUACUUUUUCGUGGGGGAUAACGUAGGGAAACUUACGCUAAUACCGCAUACGACCUACGGGUGAAAGCAGGGGAUCUUCGGACCUUGCGCGAUUGAAUGAGCCGAUGUCGGAUUAGCUAGUUGGCGGGGUAAAGGCCCACCAAGGCGACGAUCCGUAGCUGGUCUGAGAGGAUGAUCAGCCACACUGGAACUGAGACACGGUCCAGACUCCUACGGGAGGCAGCAGUGGGGAAUAUUGGACAAUGGGCGCUAGCCUGAUCCAGCCAUACCGCGUGGGUGAAGAAGGCCUUCGGGUUGUAAAGCCCUUUUGUUGGGAAAGAAAAGCAGCAGGUUAAUACCCCGCUGUUCUGACGGUACCCAAAGAAUAAGCACCGGCUAACUUCGUG
RNAcentral lists this ribosomal RNA (492 nucleotides) under uncultured bacterium. Its description in RNAcentral is "partial 16S ribosomal RNA". It matches the Rfam family "Bacterial small subunit ribosomal RNA", at positions 29 to 507 of the family's 1533-position model. The record is from RNAcentral.